UACGGAGGGUGCUAGCGUUAUCCGGAAUCACUGGGCGUAAAGGGCGCGUAGGCGGUUUGUUAAGUCCGAUGUUAAAGACUGGGGCUCAACCCCAGCACUGCGUUGGAUACUGGCAGACUGGACGGUUGGAGAGGCGAGUGGAAUUACCAGUGUAGCGGUGGAAUGCGUAGAUACUGGUAGGAACACCCAUUGCGAAGGCAGCUCGCUGGACAACACGUGACGCUGAGGCGCGAAAGUGUGGGGAGCAAACCGGAUUAGAACCCGUGUAGUCC
This 272-nucleotide ribosomal RNA is filed under the name uncultured prokaryote. Its description in RNAcentral is "partial 16S ribosomal RNA". It matches the Rfam family "Bacterial small subunit ribosomal RNA", at positions 524 to 796 of the family's 1533-position model. The record is from RNAcentral.